This 106-nucleotide ribosomal RNA is filed under the name Bos taurus (domestic cattle). Lineage: Eukaryota; Metazoa; Chordata; Mammalia; Artiodactyla; Bovidae. The record is from RNAcentral. RNAcentral also lists the same sequence under 1 other name.
CUUUACGACCAUACUACCCUGAAUAUGUGUGAUCUUGUCUGAUCUCGGAAGCUAAGCAGGGUCAGGAAUGGUUAGUACUUGGAUUGGGUAAACACAGUCUUAAAUU